This is a non-coding RNA of Triticum urartu, 4149 nucleotides long. The record is from RefSeq and is a predicted model, not a curated record. Lineage: Eukaryota; Viridiplantae; Streptophyta; Magnoliopsida; Poales; Poaceae.
ACCGUUGGCCCUCCCCAUCCGUUGGCCCUUACUCCCCUAGCCGCUAGCUGCCUCUCCUCUGCUCCCCUCCUCUCUCACGAACCCUAGCGCUGCCACACCCCGCCGCAGCCGCCGCAUCCCUCCCCGCUCUCCAUUCGCCCCACGACCUCCUUUCAUGGCGGCGCCCUCCCCAUCUUCAAUCUAGGGCCCAGUCAGCUGAAGCAGACGGAGAGAGGUGGCAGAUGUGCGUCCUCUAGGGCCUCGUCAGCCAGAGAUGGAGGGGAGGAGCGGAUAUCAACCAGCAAGGUGGCUCAGUUUGGACCGGCCAUGGUGUUGGCUGCUGACUCCCACCGGUCUUGUCUCCCCCAACCCUUCCAUGGAGCUUGCUUAGCCGCUGGCCGCCACAUCUUCUUCUAGCUCACAACACCAAGGCCAUGUAGCUUACUUUUUUUAACUGUUAUUGCUGAUUGGAGCCAUUGCUAUUGGCUAUUUAUACAUAAGAUGGAAGGUGGAUUGAGAUUUUUGUGAGGGGGAUUGGAUUUUAUCCAGAUGACUUGCUUCUCAUGAUGAGGCUGAUACUAAUGAACUAAUGACGACAUGAAGGUUGCAUCUUAUCUCCAUUUCCCUUUCUACAUUUUCCAUUUAGUCGAUUAACAUACAUUGUACUAUUUCCCUUUCUAUAGUUGCCAUUUAGUUGAUUAACAUAGGUUGUACUAUUUUCGAUUAAGCAGACUAUGGGUUAAUGAAUGUUGAAUUAGCUACUUUUUAUAUCCCUGGACCAUAUAUAUAUAUUACAUGCAUCAGUACUUCAUGCAUCUCUGAUAUGCUUUUGCUUUUUAUUGUUGCCCUUAAUUACUACUUUUCUAUGAACCCAACGUUUAGGUUGCGGGCUCAACUGCAUAUCCAUAUCCUCUGUAUGAAUUUUUUAGCUAGCUUUGAAGCGAAUGUGGUGAUCAAGGCUCUAAUAAGUAUUCUUUAUUUGCAUGAAUGUUGUGUGCAUAUAGGUAGUUGCAAUGGAAUCAUUUUUCUCAUAGACGAGAAGUACAUUGAAAACAGAUUUAAAAAAUUGAUACAAUUUUACAAGUGUGCAGAUAGUUGACAAUGCAACAGUGCUAUUGUUCAAAUGUGGUCGAGCCGGGCUUUCGGUGUUUUCGGUGCUAUUGUUCAAAUGUUGCUUUCUUAGAUUCAUUGCAACCAAAAGAUUUGGUAAUAUGUUUUUCUGAAAGCAUGGAUACACUUGUUGGUGUUGUAUACUGGGAUCUGUAACUAUUGUCAUAGGAAUUUUUGAUCCUAAGGAUUCACAUAGAUUGGAGGGGAGUUAGUAUCUAACAUCCUGUUAAAUGUACACAAACUAGUAUAUCUUCUUCAUGGCUUUUAAGAUAUAAUUGUAUGUGCUAAUUUAUGCUUUGAUAAAGUAACAUCUUACUUCUCGGUGCUUGGAUAAAAGAGUAUAGUUUGCUGAAAAUAUGUUCAUACUAUAUAUCACAGAAGUACAAGCUUACAAUCAGCCUAUGGUGAAGUUAAAAGAAGCAAAAAUUAUUGUGUGUAUAAUCAUUAGAUUUCUUUACCAAGGUGAUUCGGAUUUAUUUUUGCUGCUUUAUGUAGAAUGUAGAUUAUUUUUAUUCCUGUUGCUGCAUUUGGCCCUACAUGUCGAUGGGUGUGGCCACUCCCUUGUUAGUUUGUUGCUUGAUUCGGUUUGGUCCAAGGUAGGCUGUUUGUUGUCUACGUCUGUAUAUUCGUUGGUUGGAUAAGAAGAUUUUGCAGGUUUUUCUCUGGUUUGGUUGCUUCUACUCCCAGUGCAGGUUCCUAUAAUUUCUAGACAAUGUAUUGGUUCUACGGAUUAUCUCGGUUAGUUUAAAAGUGCUUUGGUUGCCUUCUUGUCUUCACGCAUAGACCAUGGAGAUGGCUAGGUUUGCAUGGGCAUGGGGUUUGCACACCUGGACUCUGUUAAGAUUUGUUAAUAAAUUCAGUUUGUCACGAAUACCAUAAAUGUGUAUCAGUUUACUAUAUUGGCACAUGAGCUAUUUUUCAGUCAAUGCGUGCCCAGUCCACUUGGAACUGAAUAUGCAGUGUUUUCUUUGAAACUGAAUAACGGUGGUUGAAAUUUAGUUUCAUUUAGACGAGCUACCCCAAGUAUCAUCAAUUCAUGAUGGCUAAUUUGUUUUGGUUCUUGAUGAAUCGGCCUUGGUCCUGAUUUAAGAGUUUUUACGUUAUUUCUCAGCUUAUUUCAGCUAUUAUCUUUUCUGUUUAACACACACAAUUGUAGCUGCCCUUUUGAUUCAGAAAAAUGGUUUCAUGUUUGUGGUUUGGUUAAACAUUUUCUCAGCAUAUCUCUAUUCGUCAGCCUUACUCGCAUAACAUCCAACAUAGUUUGUCUGAUCCAAACUAAAUGUUGGUUGUUUCUAUGGUUUGUGUGCUGUCUAUUUUUCUUCGAUCUUGGUCAUUAAAGAUGUGAAAAGAAAGAAAUUUCAAAAGGUUUGAUAAUCUAGAAUGCUCAUAUGGAGUUGUUUGAACCAGUUUUUUUAGUAGCUGCUGAGACCAGAUGUAUUUGAAAGUUUUCAAAUGUACCAACAGUAGGAGUUGACCAAUAAUGUUGAAUUGAUUCAGUCUUCAGGCCUUAUGCACAACCUCCACAAUGUUAAGAUAAUAUAAGCUUUAAUGCUCCUGUGCACUGCUUUAAUGCUUCUGCUUGCUUGUCUGAAUCUUGUUGUUGUUCAUUAAUUUUUUGUCGCCUGCUGUAACCCGUGAGGGGGAGUUGGAUCCAUCUUGGAUAACCAUCCCCAAUAAGAUUUUAAUACACACUGAUGGUGACAAAAUCGAUGCCAUUGUUCAGGAUGUAUACAAAAAUGUUCCUACAAGGUAUUCUGACAUUGAUUAUCUAAAAAGAAAGAGCAAUUCUAACACCAACGAACCAAGUAGUUUAAAAAAAUAAUUGAGUGUGUUCUAUCUUUAGUGCCUACCAGUGAGAGAGUACCUAAGCUUUGUCAAGUGUCCAUGCCUAUGUUUUAUAUGAAAGACCUUUCCUCUUUUGCACAAACCAUGCUUCCUGUACAAUGAUAUUUAAUAGCAGAAAACUAAAUAGGUUGGUCAGGAAACUGAAGCUGCAGCUAUUGAAGAGCCAAAGAACAUUCUUGCUGAACAUACUAAAGCCAAGAGGUAAAGACUCACAGUCUGUUACAACAACCAGUUCAACAUAUGCUAUGGUGUGCCGCCUCUUGUUCUUCCUUUACCUUGUCUUCUUUGACAACCAAACCAUCCUUCUUUGUGGCUCUCAAAAAUGCUUUCUUCUUCAGACCAUGCAUGUUAUGCUAUUUGAUCAAACUAUCUUUUCUGCCACAGCUAUAUUCAAAUUGAUCAUAGGCCCAAUAAAACAUCAUUUUACCUUCAAAAUCUAAUCUAUGUUUUAUUUAUUUUCAUGUUGUAUACACAGGCAACUCUUCCUGUUGCAUCAAAAGUAACUUGGUUCGUACAUGCAAACUAAUUUGCCAUAAAGUUAAAUUAGCUAUGUAUUAAGAUUCGGUACAUCUACUGCUUAUUUAUGUUGUGUUCUAUUUGAUGUGUCCAAUAUUUAUGUGCUUGUUAUUUUUAUCACACUGUAAUCAAGAUUCUGUUCUUAUAGCAAUAAGAAACCUUGUGCAAUCAAGCUUCUAUUCUUAUAGCAAUUAUAGUUUUGAUACCUUUGUUUCUUUAUAUCAUCUUGUUGGGUUUCUGUUUCUCUUCAUAUAGGAUACAGAUAUGUGAUUUCCAUGUGAUCCUUUUGCUGGAAAUUUGCUAAUCUUAAGGGUGCUGCUACUGGUGUAAAAACCAUUUUAUCAAAAGAACUAAAGUAGUAGCUAAUCCAAGCAUUGAAGAAUUGACGCAGAGGUUACGCUAUAUUGGCAUGAAGUUAGAGCAGCUCCUGAAGACUACAUAAGAUAGUUUCUGGUGACCUUUAGUCUAUAUGUCCUAACCAACAACAGCCACCUUUUAUUUCGUACCAAUCGAUCGAGUAUCUUUCCCCUUUUUGCGUUGCUCUGAGGAAGAUAUGUAUAGCCUUUAGAUUUCCAUUCGUGUAUGAUACUACAUGUACACUUUAGACCUCAUUAGUGUCUCUGUGGUCAAAAGAAGUUUGUGAUCACUUGUUCUAUAUAUGUAAUCUACUGCCCUUCUACUAAUAUUUUCAGAAGACUA